GCGGGCGUGGCGAAACGGUAGACGCAGCGGAUUCAAAAUCCGCCGUAGCAAUACGUGUCGGUUCGAGUCCGACCGCCCGCACCA
Molecule: transfer RNA, 84 nt
Filed under: Hyphomonas sp.
Lineage: Bacteria; Pseudomonadati; Pseudomonadota; Alphaproteobacteria; Hyphomonadales; Hyphomonadaceae
Also listed under: 6 other names
Description: tRNA-Leu
Rfam family: tRNA
About the family: Transfer RNA (tRNA) molecules are approximately 80 nucleotides in length. Their secondary structure includes four short double-helical elements and three loops (D, anti-codon, and T loops). Further hydrogen bonds mediate the characteristic L-shaped molecular structure. tRNAs have two regions of fundamental functional importance: the anti-codon, which is responsible for specific mRNA codon recognition, and the 3' end, to which the tRNAs corresponding amino acid is attached (by aminoacyl-tRNA synthetases). tRNAs cope with the degeneracy of the genetic code in two manners: having more than one tRNA (with a specific anti-codon) for a particular amino acid; and 'wobble' base-pairing, i.e. permitting non-standard base-pairing at the 3rd anti-codon position.
Source: RNAcentral